UACGUAGGGUCCGAGCGUUGUCCGGAAUUACUGGGCGUAAAGAGCUCGUAGGUGGUUUGUCGCGUUGUUCGUGAAAACUCACAGCUCAACUGUGGGCGUGCGGGCGAUACGGGCAGACUGGAGUACUGCAGGGGAGACUGGAAUUCCUGGUGUAGCGGUGAAAUGCGCAGAUAUCAGGAGGAACACCGGUGGCGAAGGCGGGUCUCUGGGCCGAUACUGACGUUGAGGAGCGAAAGCGUGGGGAGCGAACAGG
This 253-nucleotide ribosomal RNA is filed under the name uncultured bacterium. Its description in RNAcentral is "partial 16S ribosomal RNA". It matches the Rfam family "Bacterial small subunit ribosomal RNA", at positions 524 to 776 of the family's 1533-position model. The record is from RNAcentral.